RNAcentral lists this transfer RNA (77 nucleotides) under Hyalomma marginatum. RNAcentral describes it as "tRNA-Asp(gtc)". It matches the Rfam family "tRNA". From Rfam's summary of the family: Transfer RNA (tRNA) molecules are approximately 80 nucleotides in length. Their secondary structure includes four short double-helical elements and three loops (D, anti-codon, and T loops). Lineage: Eukaryota; Metazoa; Arthropoda; Arachnida; Ixodida; Ixodidae. RNAcentral also lists the same sequence under 1 other name. The record is from RNAcentral.
GGGGAUGUAGCUCAGUUGGUUAGAGCGCCGGCCUGUCACGUCGGAGGUCGCGAGUUCGAGUCUCGUCAUCCCCGCCA